RNAcentral lists this ribosomal RNA (483 nucleotides) under uncultured bacterium. Its description in RNAcentral is "bacterial SSU rRNA". It matches the Rfam family "Bacterial small subunit ribosomal RNA", at positions 28 to 507 of the family's 1533-position model. The record is from RNAcentral.
GAUGAACGCUAGCGGCAGGCCUAACACAUGCAAGUCGAGGGGUAACAGGAAAGCUUGCUUUUGCUGACGACCGGCGCACGGGUGCGUAACGCGUAUGCAACCUACCUCAUACAGGAGAAUAGCCCUUGGAAACGAGGAUUAAUACUCCAUGGUAUCAUUUUUUCGCAUGUUAAAAUGAUUAAAGAAUUUCGGUAUGAGAUGGGCAUGCGUCCCAUUAGCUAGUUGGUGAGGUAACGGCUCACCAAGGCGACGAUGGGUAGGGGGCCUGAGAGGGUGGUCCCCCACACUGGUACUGAGACACGGACCAGACUCCUACGGGAGGCAGCAGUGAGGAAUAUUGGUCAAUGGAGGCAACUCUGAACCAGCCAUGCCGCGUGCAGGAAGACUGCCCUAUGGGUUGUAAACUGCUUUUAUACAGGAAGAAACUUACCCACGUGUGGGUAACUGACGGUACUGUACGAAUAAGGACCGGCUAACUCCGUG